RNAcentral lists this transfer RNA (73 nucleotides) under Trichonephila inaurata madagascariensis. It matches the Rfam family "tRNA". Rfam says of the family: Transfer RNA (tRNA) molecules are approximately 80 nucleotides in length. The record is from Rfam by way of RNAcentral. Lineage: Eukaryota; Metazoa; Arthropoda; Arachnida; Araneae; Nephilidae.
GUCCCUGUAGCGCAAUGGAUUGCGCGUUGGACCUCUAAUCCAAAGGUUGUGGGUUCGAAUACCACCUCGGAUG